UUAGAGACAAGAACUAAUUCUGAGAUGCCUUCUGAUACUCAGCUUAUUUUUUUCUCUCAUUUGCUUCUCCAUUAGUCUCCUUGGCCCUUUCUGCUGAAGUCUCUUCUUGGAGAUCUGAUUAGUCUUCCUACCAAAUGCUUAUUUACCUGUCCUGGACAGUGGUUACCAAAUAACUGGACCCCAUUCCCACACAGAUGGACUACACACUAAAAGUUGCAUUUAUUUUCAAGAAUAGAACCCUUGGAAAACAGAUUAAGAAGUUUUACAUGUAGUUGUACUCAAUGGACAAUCUUACAUUUCAUGGGAAGGGAAAAAAAUAUCUCUUUUACUUUUGCUGUUUCAUGUUUUCUUCUUCUUAUUUUUUUUAAGAGUCUCAUUAAUGUUGGAAAGAGCAUUUUAAAAGCCGAGAAGACUAUAAUAACCCUCAAUUGUCUGGUAUAUUUCUUCCUAGAACAAUUUUUUGAGUUACUACCUAGCCUUCAGAAAUUCAGGAUUACAUAAUGCCACUGACAACCUCAAAAAUUGCUGCCAACAAUUUUAUGGAAAGAAAAUAUUUUAUUUUCUUUAUAAACAAUGAAAAUUGUUUAUAAUUUGAGGUGGCAAUGAGAAAUAUGAAGAAAAAUAUUAGGAAGAAAAUUAUGUGAUUUCAUCUUGUAGGAAUAAGC
RNAcentral lists this long non-coding RNA (665 nucleotides) under Marmota monax (woodchuck). Lineage: Eukaryota; Metazoa; Chordata; Mammalia; Rodentia; Sciuridae. The record is from RNAcentral.